Molecule: long non-coding RNA, 309 nt
Organism: Alexandromys fortis (reed vole)
Lineage: Eukaryota; Metazoa; Chordata; Mammalia; Rodentia; Cricetidae
Exons: 3
Source: RefSeq, a predicted model, not a curated record
CACAAUUGAUGCAAAAGCAAGAGGAUUUUUAUUCUGUCAUGACAGGGCCCUUCAGGUUCAGGAUGGGAAGGACAACUGAUAGCUGUUACAGUCCAUCUUUUAAAGCAAAAAGCCACAGACACAAGGGGGAAAACUCCUUGCAGGAUUGACGCUGCUCAGACUUGGUAUAUCCCGUGACCCUCUCCUAGCCUAGGGUCAUGCUACAAGUGGUGGGUUCACUCCUCCUGCCAGACGUGUGCCCAGGCCAGCCCAUAAGGAGCUCUCCACAUACACCAGUCUCUACACCAGCUUCGUGGACACCAACCGGGC